AUACUUACUUGGCACGGAAGAUACCAUGAUCACAAGGUGGCUUUCCUAGGGGAAGUCUUAUCCAUUGCACUCCAUGUGUGCUAAGAUGACCUCUAGGAUUUCCACAAAUGCAGGAAACUUGGCUGCAUAGA
RNAcentral lists this small nuclear RNA (131 nucleotides) under Microtus ochrogaster (prairie vole). Its description in RNAcentral is "U1 spliceosomal RNA (ENSMOCG00000003453.1)". It matches the Rfam family "U1 spliceosomal RNA". Rfam says of the family: U1 is a small nuclear RNA (snRNA) component of the spliceosome (involved in pre-mRNA splicing). Its 5' end forms complementary base pairs with the 5' splice junction, thus defining the 5' donor site of an intron. There are significant differences in sequence and secondary structure between metazoan and yeast U1 snRNAs, the latter being much longer (568 nucleotides as compared to 164 nucleotides in human). The record is from RNAcentral. Lineage: Eukaryota; Metazoa; Chordata; Mammalia; Rodentia; Cricetidae.